This 641-nucleotide long non-coding RNA is filed under the name Triticum aestivum (bread wheat). Its description in RNAcentral is "long non-coding RNA (TAES_LNC026610)". The record is from RNAcentral. Lineage: Eukaryota; Viridiplantae; Streptophyta; Magnoliopsida; Poales; Poaceae.
CACAAUACAUCCAGGCACACUUCCAGUUGGGAGAACAGGCUCCAAAUACAUCCAGGCAAUUCAAAAAAUAUUACAACCUUCAAAUAUACCAAAAUUUUACGGCCCAAACACUUGCAGCCGAUUAUAUCCGAAGGCAUACAAACUAAGAAAUGAUUUUACCAACUUACAACCUAUGUCCCCUAUUCAGUCCCCUUUUACCAAUUCAAAAAAUAUUACAACCUUCAAAUAUACCAAAAUUUUACGGCCCAAACACUUGCAGCCGAUUAUAUCCGAAGGCAUACAAACUAAGAAAUGAUUUUACCAACUUACAACCUAUGUCCCCUAUUCAGUCCCCUUUUACUAUUCUGGAAGGGGGCUUUUCGAGAGCAUCGGCACCUUCCAAUCCAGGGGAAUACUGUCUCAGGGUACCACCAAGCAUUUUCUUCUUGCUUGAGAUUAAUAUAUCAGGAUAUCAACAUCCAAUGGUUGAUGGGCAACUCGCAGCGUGAAGGAAAAUGAGUUGCCCUUAUUUGUUAGUAUGUAGCAGUAUCUUUUUCGCGACCCUAAGUCGCAUAACAUUUGCUGUAAACAAGAGCCACUAGAUUGUGGUGGUAAGUAAGUGUACAACAGCUACAAGGGCAAGAAACGUGUUCCAGUGGAAC